AACGUAGGGUGCAAGCGUUGUCCGGAAUUACUGGGUGUAAAGGGAGCGCAGGCGGGAAGACAAGUUGGAAGUGAAAACCAUGGGCUCAACCCAUGAAUUGCUUUCAAAACUGUUUUUCUUGAGUAGUGCAGAGGUAGAUGGAAUUCCCGGUGUAGCGGUGGAAUGCGUAGAUAUCGGGAGGAACACCAGUGGCGAAGGCGGUCUACUGGGCACCAACUGACGCUGAGGCUCGAAAGCAUGGGUAG
This 245-nucleotide ribosomal RNA is filed under the name uncultured Faecalibacterium sp. RNAcentral's name for it is "partial 16S ribosomal RNA". It matches the Rfam family "Bacterial small subunit ribosomal RNA", at positions 524 to 768 of the family's 1533-position model. Lineage: Bacteria; Bacillati; Bacillota; Clostridia; Eubacteriales; Oscillospiraceae. The record is from RNAcentral.